GCAGCCCCAGAUGAUAUUCCCACCUACACCAGAAGGUCCCAUUACCAAAAAUGGACAACAUGGGAUAACUCGAAAGGAAAAAAAUACAAUUAAUAUCAUAGAAAUGCUCUCUUUAUAAUCACACUGUUUAUGUUCACAUUUGCAAACCAUAGUUGAAUACUUACAAGCAAACCUUCUUUUAGGGCAAGACGCUUUGCAGUUUCAAUUGCUUCGUCACUUGAUAUCUGCAAUAUUGUACAAAUUCAGUUGGGGAACAGUUGGGAUAUUCAAAUUAUUAAUAAGGUUCUGUGUAUCUGCUAAAAUGGCACAAAU
Molecule: unclassified non-coding RNA, 312 nt
Filed under: Hevea brasiliensis (rubber tree)
Lineage: Eukaryota; Viridiplantae; Streptophyta; Magnoliopsida; Malpighiales; Euphorbiaceae
Source: RNAcentral